Molecule: long non-coding RNA, 886 nt
Filed under: Homo sapiens (human)
Lineage: Eukaryota; Metazoa; Chordata; Mammalia; Primates; Hominidae
Description: LY6S antisense RNA 1
Source: RNAcentral
AGGCCUUGCUAAGCAUGCGUGGUAUCAAGAGGUGCAUUGAGGCGCUCCUGCAGCCUCCUCCCGGCACGGGACUCCUCACAACCCCCAGCCUCAGCUUCCCUGACAGGGCAGGGGCUCACUCUUCUCCACUCCGGGCCAGGAACGCAGCCUGCUUGCCUUUUGUCCAAUUGGGUGCUCUUUCUUUGCGACUGAUACAAAGUGGGAACAAACUCCGCUUCCGGUGAUGCCCGGGCCCCAGGAGGCUGGGGGAGAAGUGCACGCUGCCCAGCCUUCAACCUGAACUGCCCCCAGCACUUCCGAGCCCCGACCCCUGCAGCUGUGAGGGCCCAGGGGCUGCUGGCUGCCAGGACCACCGCAUUGCAGAGGUCUCCCUUGCAGCAAGAGAUCUGGGAGUCCACAACGGCACUUAACCUGCCCUCUGCCCUGGCACCCCAGGGACUCACUGCCAAAGACGCUCACUUUCUGGGAGACACAGACCCCAUCCAGGAAGGGGCACGAGACCACGCUGCAGGAGGCCCCUUCCAAGACCGCCAAGCAUCUGUAGCAGCGCAGACCCUGAGCUGGGAGAGAGGGCAAGGAUUCUCUCGGCACCACGGGAACCACCUUCUCUACUCUCACUGAACACCCCUGGGAUGUAUCUGUAAAAAUUGGAACACCUUUCGGCUAGAAACCAGAGGAAGCCGCUCAUGACACCCGGGAGCUCACAGAGGCUCUGAAGUUUCUAUUCAAGAAAACAACUCCAGAUGGGGCUGAUCUGGAAGACAAGUAACAUCUUCCUUUUCUUGGUGCUCGCCUGCCGUGCUCUAGGUGCUUUUAGAGAUGCUGGUCUGUGUGCUAGGGAAGCGAUGAACCAUACUGUUAGUCUAUUAAACAUAACUCAACCUGG